GAGCGGUAGCACAGAGAGCUUGCUCUCGGGUGACGAGCGGCGGACGGGUGAGUAAUGUCUGGGAAACUGCCUGAUGGAGGGGGAUAACUACUGGAAACGGUAGCUAAUACCGCAUAACGUCGCAAGACCAAAGUGGGGGACCUUCGGGCCUCAUGCCAUCAGAUGUGCCCAGAUGGGAUUAGCUAGUAGGUGGGGUAACGGCUCACCUAGGCGACGAUCCCUAGCUGGUCUGAGAGGAUGACCAGCCACACUGGAACUGAGACACGGUCCAGACUCCUACGGGAGGCAGCAGUGGGGAAUAUUGCACAAUGGGCGCAAGCCUGAUGCAGCCAUGCCGCGUGUGUGAAGAAGGCCUUCGGGUUGUAAAGCACUUUCAGCGGGGAGGAAGGCGUUAAGGUUAAUAACCUUGUCGAUUGACGUUACCCGCAGAAGAAGCACCGGCUAACUCCGUGCCAGCAGCCGCGGUAAUACGGAGGGUGCAAGCGUUAAUCGGAAUUACUGGGCGUAAAGCGCACGCAGGCGGUCUGUCAAGUCGGAUGUGAAAUCCCCGGGCUCAACCUGGGAACUGCAUUUGAAACUGGCAGGCUAGAGUCUUGUAGAGGGGGGUAGAAUUUCAGGUGUAGCGGUGAAAUGCGUAGAGAUCUGGAGGAAUACCGGUGGCGAAGGCGGCCCCCUGGACAAAGACUGACGCUCAGGUGCGAAAGCGUGGGGAGCAAACAGGAUUAGAUACCCUGGUAGUCCACGCCGUAAACGAUGUCGAUUUGGAGGUUGUGCCCUUGAGGCGUGGCUUCCGGAGCUAACGCGUUAAAUCGACCGCCUGGGGAGUACGGCCGCAAGGUUAAAACUCAAAUGAAUUGACGGGGGCCCGCACAAGCGGUGGAGCAUGUGGUUUAAUUUGAUGCAACGCGAAGAACCUUACCUGGUCUUGACAUCCACAGAACUUUCCAGAGAUGGAUUGGUGCCUUCGGGAACUGUGAGACAGGUGCUGCAUGGCUGUCGUCAGCUCGUGUUGUGAAAUGUUGGGUUAAGUCCCGCAACGAGCGCAACCCUUAUCCUUUGUUGCCAGCGGUCCGGCCGGGAACUCAAAGGAGACUGCCAGUGAUAAACUGGAGGAAGGUGGGGAUGACGUCAAGUCAUCAUGGCCCUUACGACCAGGGCUACACACGUGCUACAAUGGCAUAUACAAAGAGAAGCGACCUCGCGAGAGCAAGCGGACCUCAUAAAGUAUGUCGUAGUCCGGAUUGGAGUCUGCAACUCGACUCCAUGAAGUCGGAAUCGCUAGUAAUCGUAGAUCAGAAUGCUACGGUGAAUACGUUCCCGGGCCUUGUACACACCGCCCGUCACACCAUGGGAGUGGGUUGCAAAAGAAGUAGGUAGCUUAACCUUCGGGAG
RNAcentral lists this ribosomal RNA (1392 nucleotides) under Klebsiella pneumoniae. RNAcentral describes it as "bacterial SSU rRNA". It matches the Rfam family "Bacterial small subunit ribosomal RNA". Lineage: Bacteria; Pseudomonadati; Pseudomonadota; Gammaproteobacteria; Enterobacterales; Enterobacteriaceae. The record is from RNAcentral.